AGAGUUUGAUCCUGGCUCAGAGCGAACGCUGGCGGCAGGCCUAACACAUGCAAGUCGAGCGGCCGUAGCAAUACGGCAGCGGCAGACGGGAGAGUAACACGUGGGAACGUGCCCAUCAGUUCGGAACAACCCAGGGAAACUUGGGCUAAUACCGGAUACGCCCUUACGGGGAAAGAUUUAUCGCUGAUGGAGUAGCCCGCGUUGGAUUAGGUAGUUGGUGGGGUAAAGGCCUACCAAGCCUACGAUCCAUAGCUGGUCUGAGAGGAUGAUCAGCCACACUGGGACUGAGACACGGCCCAGACUCCUACGGGAGGCAGCAGUAGGGAAUCUUGCGCAAUGGGCGAAAGCCUGACGCAGCCAUGCCGCGUGAAUGAUGAAGGUCUUAGGAUUGUAAAAUUCUUUCACCGGGGAAGAUAAUGACGGUACCCGGAGAAGAAGCCCCGGCUAACUUCGUGCCAGCAGCCGCGGUAAUACGAAGGGGGCUAGCGUUGCUCGGAAUUACUGGGCGUAAAGGGCGCGUAGGCGGAUAGUUUAGUCAGAGGUGAAAGCCCAGGGCUCAACCUUGGAACUGCCUU
This 575-nucleotide ribosomal RNA is filed under the name uncultured bacterium. Its description in RNAcentral is "bacterial SSU rRNA". It matches the Rfam family "Bacterial small subunit ribosomal RNA", at positions 8 to 627 of the family's 1533-position model. The record is from RNAcentral.